This 460-nucleotide ribosomal RNA is filed under the name uncultured bacterium. RNAcentral describes it as "partial 16S ribosomal RNA". It matches the Rfam family "Bacterial small subunit ribosomal RNA", at positions 338 to 795 of the family's 1533-position model. The record is from RNAcentral.
CCUACGGGCGGCAGCAGUGAGGAAUAUUGGUCAAUGGACGCAAGUCUGAACCAGCCAUGCCGCGUGCAGGAAGACGGCUCUAUGAGUUGUAAACUGCUUUUGUACGAGGGUAAACGCAGAUACGCGUAUCUGUCUGAAAGUAUCGUACGAAUAAGGAUCGGCUAACCCCGUGCCAGCAGCCGCGGUAAUACGGAGGAUUCAAGCGUUAUCCGGAUUUAUUGGGUUUAAAGGGUGCGUAGGCGGUCGGAUAAGUUAGAGGUGAAAUCCCGAGGCUCAACUUCGGAAUUGCCUCGGAUACUGUUCGGCGAGAGAGUAGUUGCGGUAGGCGGAAUGUAUGGUGUAGCGGUGAAAUGCUUAGAGAUCAUACAGAACACCGAUUGCGAAGGCAGCUUACCAAGCUACUUCUGACGUUGAGGCACGAAAGCGUGGGGAGCAAACAGGAUUAGAUACCCCUGUAGUC